RNAcentral lists this ribosomal RNA (479 nucleotides) under Streptococcus pneumoniae. RNAcentral's name for it is "bacterial SSU rRNA". It matches the Rfam family "Bacterial small subunit ribosomal RNA", at positions 28 to 493 of the family's 1533-position model. The record is from RNAcentral. Lineage: Bacteria; Bacillati; Bacillota; Bacilli; Lactobacillales; Streptococcaceae.
GACGAACGCUGGCGGCGUGCCUAAUACAUGCAAGUAGAACGCUGAAGGAGGAGCUUGCUUCUCUGGAUGAGUUGCGAACGGGUGAGUAACGCGUAGGUAACCUGCCUGGUAGCGGGGGAUAACUAUUGGAAACGAUAGCUAAUACCGCAUAAGAGUGGAUGUUGCAUGACAUUUGCUUAAAAGGUGCACUUGCAUCACUACCAGAUGGACCUGCGUUGUAUUAGCUAGUUGGUGGGGUAACGGCUCACCAAGGCGGCGAUACAUAGCCGACCUGAGAGGGUGAUCGGCCACACUGGGACUGAGACACGGCCCAGACUCCUACGGGAGGCAGCAGUAGGGAAUCUUCGGCAAUGGACGGAAGUCUGACCGAGCAACGCCGCGUGAGUGAAGAAGGUUUUCGGAUCGUAAAGCUCUGUUGUAAGAGAAGAACGAGUGUGAGAGUGGAAAGUUCACACUGUGACGUAUCUACCAGAAAGGAC